Molecule: ribosomal RNA, 119 nt
Filed under: Pteropus alecto (black flying fox)
Lineage: Eukaryota; Metazoa; Chordata; Mammalia; Chiroptera; Pteropodidae
Source: RNAcentral
GUCUAUGGCCAUGCCACCCUGAACAUGCCCGAUCCCGUCUGAUCUCGGAAGCUAAGCAGGGUCGGGCCUGGUUAGUACUUGAAUGGGAGACCACCUAGGAAUACCAGGUGCUGUAGGCA